CAGAGUUGCGAAACUCCAUAAACGCAUUGCGAACCCACCACGUGAACAGUUGCUUCGGCGGGUGGCUGGCCAGGGGCCCCCCUAGCUGGGGCCGGCCGCCGCGAAACCCGCCGGAGGCACCCAAACUCUUGUUUGUUACAGGCCUCUCUGAGUUAUAGCACUUGAAUAAAGUC
This 173-nucleotide unclassified non-coding RNA is filed under the name soil metagenome. RNAcentral describes it as "partial internal transcribed spacer 1". The record is from RNAcentral.